RNAcentral lists this long non-coding RNA (6135 nucleotides) under Carica papaya (papaya). RNAcentral's name for it is "long non-coding RNA (CPAP_LNC006708)". Lineage: Eukaryota; Viridiplantae; Streptophyta; Magnoliopsida; Brassicales; Caricaceae. The record is from RNAcentral.
GAGCUUCUUUAAUAGCUACUCUCGUUGCACAGUGAACCGAAGCUGCUAGAAGCAAUGGAGGCUCACCGGAAGCUGAAAAAUAAAAACAUAGUAUUCAACGAUCAACCUUGGUGUUUGUGAGUUUUUCCACCAUUCACAAUUUUGCUUUCUCUUUAAUCGAUAUUGCUAUGUUAGAAGUUUACAUCUUCUCAUGCACACCGAUUAUUGUUCAAAUAUUUACAUAUUGUUUUGAUUAUCGAGAUGUGAUAUUCCUAACCUGGUUUUGAUAUCAACUCACGUAAGACAAUAAGAGUUUAAGAUAAAACUUAGAGAAGUUUUAUUAAGAAUCAAACUUAGAGAUCUCGGAUUUCAAUAAGCAAAGCAAUAUCCCAAUAUUUAGAUAGUAAUCAUAAAUGGUUAUUUAAUAACUAAGGUGGAGUACUUUGUUUAUAAACUAAAAUAGAAUCGAAAUAGAAAUUCUUAAAAUCUAUCUAAGAAUUAUACGAAGUAGGAAAAUAAACUAAUUAAAUAGAAUAACUUAUAGUAGAAAAUAACUAAAUAGAAAAUAAUAAAUCAAUUCUAAUCGGAUACUAGUUCCUAAAUAACCUAGAUAAUUUAAUAAUGCAUAAACAUUACAAUUAUAUAAAUAUAUUUCAUUAUAGAAUUAUGUUCAUUAAAGGUAAAGAUCCCCCGGUUUUGUAUCAAUAAAUCACACGACAAAAACUUUCAUCAAAAGCAAUAAGAACCGUAUUGAUUAAAUUAACAUAAACUCUCAUGUAUGUCAAUGCAAAAUACCUUUUGAAGAGAGGACACAUUUCUGGUGAUUUCCACUAUUCAGUAAUUCAACAUUGAACUGCCUAGGUAUGGUAUCCACGGUAGGAAUUUUAUACUUCCAUGUGCCUUCAGGAACGACUAGUCCAUCUGAGUUUGUGAUAUAUUCUUCAAGCAUAAAAAAUCCGAUUCCUUGGACAAAAGCACCUUCAACCUGCACAAGGAAACUUUUAACAUAAAACAAUCUAGGAUAAUUUAAUUUGAUAUUUGAGAUGAAAAUGUUAGCGGUAGAACCCUGUCCUCAGCAUGCAUUAUCUUAGCAUGCUUGAACUGCAAAGCUGGCGAGAAACAAACGACAACAACAUCAAAAUUUUGAGUUAAGCCGGAAGAUACGCCAAAUUUAUCAUUCUUACCUGUCCUAGAUCCACAGCUGGAUUAAGGCUUUUGCCACAAUCAUAAAUGAUAUCUGCUUGCAAAAUCGUGACUGCUCCUGUCAAAAGGUCUAGUUCUACCUGUUCAUGAUGUCGUAGCUUCACAUUUAGUUCUUUCUGAAGGAUAUUUGAUAUGAAAAGGUUGUUUUUUCUAAAGUAGUGUAACAAGAAUCAGUGGCGUUGACCAUGUUCAAUAAGUGAGCUCCAAAUUUAAUUGAUAGAAAGAAAUUUUGAUGUCCAAACAAUAACUAAAACGAAGCAACAUUAAUCAAAUACCAAAACUUACCUCACUCACGGCAGCACCAUAGUUUAGGUAUGCCUUGGAAUUAAUUUCUGGAACAUAGUAAGAACUUGCCGAUAAAUUAGUGCUCUGUGCAUAUGCCUGCAUAAUGAUAGAUAAUACGAGUAAAAUCACAAAGUUCACCUUAGCCUCGUCAAGAAUACAUAUACCAAAAUGAUGGACGUUAGAACCUGUAGACAUUGAUAUUGUUAGAAUACAAUAUAUAUAUCCCUGUAACCCAUGAUUGGGCCUGCUUCUCCACACCCAUGGGCAAUCCACUUGCAUAUGAGGGAAAACAUUAAAAACUCAGAAUAAAAUAAGUGGGGUUUUCUUGUUUGCUUGACCUUGUGAGUACUAUUAGUCAUCUCACUUUAUUAUUUAAUAUUGUUUCAAAGGUUAAGGUAUUGAGCUCAAACUGUCUGAAUCUCAUUCAUGUAGGACAGAAAGUUUUAACACAAAAUUAAAAAGAAAAAUCAACAAAAAAUUGAGAGGCAUCAAAUUUCAAAUCAUCUCAAUUUCUCAAUAAUGUGAGAAUUAUACAUCUGCUUCAAGUUCAUAGGCCAACAGUUUUAUAACAUCUGCUCAUCCUCAAGAUUUUAAAUUAUCUACCAGAUCCAGUAAACUAAGUCUGAGUUUUCUAGAUAUGCAAUCUUAUUGAAUUAUAAUUGAAAUAGAAUAAAGUAUUGUAAGGUUUAUAACUUAUUGAAUCAUAAAUAAGGAAAGAGGGUUGGAUUAACCCCGAAAAAAGUGAUCCAAAAAUGGAUUUGACCUAAAGUUUCAGGGUAUGUCCGACCAAAGAUUUUACCCACAUAAUAGUGAAAUCCUGCAAAUAAAGCAAAAAUGGCUCCAUAGAAAGUACAUCAUGGAAAUGUGCAACCACAUAAUAAGUAUCAUGGAGAGCAAUGUCUAGCCCAGAAUUUGCUGGGACUAUUCCAGUGAGUCCUCCUAUGGCAAACAAAAAGAUGAACCCUAAGCAAAUAACACAGGUGUUUUGUAUUGUAUUAAUGUCCCAUGAAGAACUUGUGCAGUAUUUAUAAGGUAAUGGGACAGAGCCUAAAAAUAGAAUAUGCUAACCCAAAAAGAAAACUAACAAAGUGGCAAAAACAUAAUAUGGAAGCUUUAUUACAAUAGCCUGCUAAUUAUAUUGUAACAAUAAUCCAUAAUUAAACAGACAAUAGCAAGAUUUGUGACCAAACUAAUACAAGUUCAUUGGUACAUCUACUAAGUAUGAAGUAAGGGUAAUGCAUCAGACGAUGGGAACUUAAGGGCUUCCAGUCCCUCAGUUAAGAAAUUAAUGAAGUAUGCUAGAGAGUUCAGAAGUUUAAAUGAAAUACCUGUCUGAUCAAGGUGUCCCAAUUUACAGCACCGACUUCCUUUAGCAAUUUUUCCUUGAGAGGGAGAAGCCUCUCAACCAAGAUAUUGCAACAAAGUCUAAUGGCUUCACAGCAUGACUCAGAUGCUGUGCUUCCACCAGUAAUACCCCCUUGAAUCAUGCUUAAUGUAUCUGCUUGUACAACCCGUACUUUGUCUAACAGGUGGUUUUCUAUUGCAUCACAUUGGAUCAAACUGAGUCCAUAGGCAGCCAUUUGUUUUACUUUGGUCCAGAGUCCUUGGCCAAUUUCAAUGCCUCCCACCUCAACAACAACUGACCCAUCACUUAGAAUGCUUACCUUGCCUGGUUUGUUAAACUUUUUGACUUCAUGCACAAUGGGUACUCGAGAAAUACCUCUUUUUUGCCAUAUAUUGCACCUAUUGAACUCUUUGAUCAUUUCAGUCCUUUCGCUGAAGCUUGAAGACAUGGCCAAUUUAUCCCAUAUGCAAGGUAAAGUAUACUCCUGGAAUUCGCCAGCACUACCCUCAUAAAAUAUUUUAAGGCUGUCGAAUGUGUGGAGAUUAAUUUUUCUAACAGAAUCUACCUCAAUGGAAAGGGUAGAUGCAACAUGUUCAAUAACAGCUUCAGCAAUAUAUGAUCCCUGUAGCUCCCCAGGAGCUCGCAUUGUUGAUCUGCCUGGAAGGUUUGUUUUGCACACCUUUAUGUCAAAAGAUAGAGCACCCCAGUUAUAUUUUUUAAGUGCAUUUAUAAUGUUAUGUGGCAUAAGAAUUGGACUUAUAAUGGCAGCCAUCCCUGCAUCGAUUAAUAUAUCAAGUUUUAAAGCCGUAAUUUUUCCAUCAGAUCUGAAUCCCACACUGUAAGUUAUUUUCAUGGGAUGUCUUCCUCCUGCCAUUAUCAUAUCAGUUUUACGAUUGACAUAUAUCCUGACUGGACGCCGUAAUUUGUGUGCAGCCACUGCACAUGCUACAGCUACCUGAAAUCAUGUUCUGAGUUAUAAUAGUUUCACCAGGUAGAUUAUAAAAAUGAUAGAAAAGCUACAAUUUGUUCUAUCCUAUUCUAUUCUCAUUUAAAUCCUAUAUUUUAAUUACUUAACAUGUAAAAGUUAGUCAUAAUUUACAUAUUUGAUACAUAAUUAAAUUAACUUCAUUCAUAUCUUCAGUUCACAACUAUGAAUUUUGUAUUCCCAUCUAUUAAGCAAAAAAUCAUAAAGCCACCUAUUUUGAGUUCAUCUUGGAAUUAUAAUACAAUUUUUUAUUUAAAUUUGUAUGUUAUUUUCAUUUCUAUUUCAUAAAUUACAAUUUGAACUAAACUUAAUGAAAUAGUUGAAAAAUGACUAAAAGGUUUCAAACUAAUGAAAAAAUAAAAGAAAAUCAUUUAUGCAUUUUAUAUGGUUACAAGAUAUCACGUGUAAAAUAUGUGUAUUGGAGGAAAACUUGCCUUCAGUAGUCUAUAAAGGACAAGAUAAUAGGGAACUAGGAGAAGUAUAAUAGGCAAGACUGGGAAAGGACCAUAAUUUUAGACUACAAAAUUUUUAUAUUCGAAUACAGGGUCAACCACCAUUGGCUCAGCAAAAUUUUAGACUCAAAUUAUACCCCAAAUGUUUAAGGAAAAGCUGCUAAAACUGAUCGACUUGAACCUUUAUAUGUGAUCGUUGGCUUCAUUAAUCACAUUGUACCUCAUGGAGCUAAGUAAAAGAGGGAACUGAGAGACCUUGUGGAGGCUGGUGAGAACAGAGGCUAGAGGCUGGGAUUCAACAUGAAGUCUAGACUGGUGGAUCUGAACUGUGAUGUGGCAAUGGCUGUCCAGUGUAGGACAACUUGCACUGAUGUAGCACCACGAAAUAGAUAAAUAGAAAAACAGGUAGAAACAGAAAAUGUAGUCCACAAUUCAAACCACAAUAACAAGGUUGGUAAGCACUCAAUAAUGAGACUAUAUCUGAAGUGAGACCAGCAGGUGAAGUCUAGGUAGUAGUAUGUUCAAAAGUAUUAUGUAUUCUAAAGAUCAUUAAAUCAAAGAAAUCUUCCCUCUACUUCUUCCAUUAAACAAACAAACAAAGAGGAAAGCUAUUGAUAUUUUCUCAAAUACCUUACGCAGCAACUAGUAGGUUUGGUUUGGAGUUCUUUUAGAAGGCUCUAGGAGGGUAUCUUAUAAUCCAUCAUUGUAAUUUUUCUUUUCUGGUCCUUAAUAAUAUUUCUUUCUACUGAAAAAAGAAUAACUAGUAGGUUUGGUCGAAGACAAAACCAAGUGUGUGUACCUAUCUAAUCUAAAUGAAGACAAGCCCUUGUUGGCCUUUUGUUUUUUCAGAGGCCUUACAUAGGGCUUCCAACUUCUCGGACUGGACUAGGACCAGAAGUAUUAACAAGGAAUGCAGUGCCACUGCAUUCGACUACGCGGCCAAAUACAAGUUCUUAGUUACAUACAACUUAAGGAAGAACCUAUAACUUCCGUAAAUCUGUAGAAAAAUAAAUAUCCAUUGAUGAGGUUUUAAUUUUAUAAGUCAAAUUUAUGGCAAACUAACUCGACUUAUUUCACCAGGAGCCAAGAAGUCGGUGGCAUCUAUUCUCAUAACUGGAGGGGUUACCAGGGCAAACAGAAAAGUCAGCUAUUUAUUUUAGAAAUGUACAAAUACACGCAGAAUGAUACUCACAGGUAUGGACUUCAAGGCCUUUCCACCAAACCCUCCUCCCACUCUCCUUGUAAUCACCCGAACAUUAUGUUCAGGAACACCAAGACAUCUAGCAAUUGUCGUCUGUACAAAUUGAGGAGAUUGAGUUGAACUACAAACCACUAUACAGUUAUCUUCAUCUGGUACAGCAAGGGCAGUUUGUGUUUCCAUAUAGAAAUAAUAUUGUGAACCAAGUCUGAUCUGGAAAAGAUAAACCAGCCAAACAUGAGGACGAACUUGCAAAACAUGAAAACAAGUUCGUACGAAAAAAAAGGGAUAUAGAUGAUCAAGAAAUGAUAUGAAUGUAAAACCAAUAAAGUCUUGAACAAGCAGUAAAACAAGAGCUAUAUAGUAAAUAUAUUGAAAAACUGAUUGAUCGAAUAUCUCUUUGAAUUAUCUAAUUGUUACUGUUUAUAAAUAGUUGUUACCGGACCAAGAGACUACCCAGAAGAGAGCUGAAAGAAGGCUGAGGUUUAAAGAGAAGAGACCCUAGAAAAGAAGACCUGAAAUCUAGAGCUAAAGAGACAGAUUGAAUGCUGAACUACCUCGGCAGAAAUAAUUUUGUGGUCAGCUUCAGCCAUUCCUUUCGAUAAAUCACCAACCUGUCUCGGUUGAAAGAAAGGAAGGACCUCAAAAAAGCUAGACUUCAUAACAGCCUCCUCAACAGAUAAUAUAG